CUGCACAGUGACACCAUCCCUGGUGAGUGUGCUGUGCUGGCAUGGAGGGGCUGUGCUGUGUCACCCUCACCUCCAUGGUGGCUCUGUCCCCAAUGUGCUGUGCCAGCCUCACCUCCGCACUGUGACACUUGGUGACACCACGGCCAGUGUCCUCCGGGGCAGUGUCCAGCAGGACAGACCCACAGGCGCCGUGAGGGAGGAUCCCAGUGAGGAGCUGACGGAUUCCAGAGCUCCUGUCCUGCGCUGGAAGGGGCUGGCAGAGCCCAGACCCGCCGGUUUCUUGCAGCAGUUUGUGGCAGCAAGGCGAGAAUUGAUUAUUCAGCGGCU
Molecule: long non-coding RNA, 327 nt
Filed under: Zonotrichia albicollis (white-throated sparrow)
Lineage: Eukaryota; Metazoa; Chordata; Aves; Passeriformes; Passerellidae
Description: lncRNA (ENSZALG00000008559.1)
Source: RNAcentral